Oreochromis aureus is the source of this 577-nucleotide long non-coding RNA. RefSeq lists it as uncharacterized. The record is from RefSeq and is a predicted model, not a curated record. NCBI's taxonomy places the organism in Eukaryota, Metazoa, Chordata, Actinopteri, Cichliformes, Cichlidae. The transcript is spliced from 3 exons.
UCUUCUGAGUUCAUAUCAGUGUGACAUCAGUGGAGAAGAUCACAUCACCUGAGCUCCUGCCUAAUCUAGAGACCAUCACCAUGCUGCCACAGUCAACACCUCUGAAACCAUCAAGGAUGACUCAUACUGAGGAAACUGUACUUCGUGUCAGAGUCCAGUGAUCUACAGAGCAGAGAAAGGUACUGCUGUCUUCUGAGUUUUUCAGUUUCCAAACUGAGAUAUUCAAACCUCAUCACAGAGCUUGUGUCUAUCUUCACCAAUCUCACACUCACAUGGUGUGAGAUUGCUCUGGCCUGCAGCACCUAUGAGAACAAGCUCGUCCUGCAUGCCUGCAUUUCAGCUUCUUAGACUCUACACAAGUGGACAGAGUGUCAGUGUUUGACCGCUCUUAUAGACACCGACUUCUGUCACCUCACUGCUACUGAUCUGGCACCUCACUCCAGGAAGACAGAGGGUUGCAAGCCUGUCAUCGUUUCCAGUGUGACUUUGCAUUCCAUUGUGUAAAUUAUAUUUUAUAUGUUUUUGUCUUCUUUUUGAUUUAGAUGCAGUGAUCGGAUAUGCUGGGGCUUUGUUAACA